GCCUUGCUCUUCUUGGAUGAGUUGCGAACGGGUGAGUAACGCGUAGGUAACCUGCCUGGUAGCGGGGGAUAACUAUUGGAAACGAUAGCUAAUACCGCAUAAAAUUGAUUAUCGCAUGAUAAUCAAUUGAAAGGUGCAAAUGCAUCACUACCAGAUGGACCUGCGUUGUAUUAGCUAGUUGGUGGGGUAACGGCUCACCAAGGCGACGAUACAUAGCCGACCUGAGAGGGUGAUCGGCCACACUGGGACUGAGACACGGCCCAGACUCCUACGGGAGGCAGCAGUAGGGAAUCUUCGGCAAUGGACGGAAGUCUGACCGAGCAACGCCGCGUGAGUGAAGAAGGUUUUCGGAUCGUAAAGCUCUGUUGUAAGAGAAGAACGAGUGUGAGAGUGGAAAGUUCACACUGUGACGGUAUCUUACCAGAAAGGGACGGCUAACUACGUGCCAGCAGCCGCGGUAAUACGUAGGUCCCGAGCGUUGUCCGGAUUUAUUGGGCGUAAAGCGAGCGCAGGCGGUUAGAUAAGUCUGAAGUUAAAGGCUGUGGCUUAACCAUAGUACGCUUUGGAAACUGUUUAACUUGAGUGCAAGAGGGGAGAGUGGAAUUCCAUGUGUAGCGGUGAAAUGCGUAGAUAUAUGGAGGAACACCGGUGGCGAAAGCGGCUCUCUGGCUUGUAACUGACGCUGAGGCUCGAAAGCGUGGGAGCAAACAGGAUUAGAUACCCUGGUAGUCCACGCCGUAAACGAUGAGUGCUAGGUGUUAGACCCUUUCCGGGGUUUAGUGCCGCAGCUAACGCAUUAAGCACUCCGCCUGGGGGAGUAC
RNAcentral lists this ribosomal RNA (821 nucleotides) under Streptococcus oralis subsp. tigurinus. Its description in RNAcentral is "bacterial SSU rRNA". It matches the Rfam family "Bacterial small subunit ribosomal RNA", at positions 77 to 883 of the family's 1533-position model. The record is from RNAcentral. Lineage: Bacteria; Bacillati; Bacillota; Bacilli; Lactobacillales; Streptococcaceae.